CGGAACCAUCACCACUACGUGGAUCUCCUCCAGUGGUUUUUGGCUCGGGAGGACAACUACAAACUGCCGUCCAACUGGCUCCCGAACCUCAACUAUAUCUUGCGGGAGGACAUUCUUGCUGUUGCCGGUCUCAGCAGGAUUUUUGACAGGGGUAGGUGUCUUUCGGCUGGGACCGUGCUUUAGUAAGUUUGUCCUCCUCCUUUUUGUCUCGUUUUAUUGACUUUGUUUUGUGCUUUGUUUCUGCAGAGUACGGCUUUAGCUGCGUUGAUCCUGUGGUCUUGGGAAUUUCUUUGGAUCUGAAGACCAUUCACGACUCGGCCCCUGAUUACAAGUUCGGGAAGGAGAAUCCUCGUAAUCCUCGCUUGAAGGAUUACGUGCUGUCUCCGUCGGGUGUCGCUCGGAUAUCUGAAGUUCGAGCUGAUCCGUGGGAUUCUGCCUCUUCUCCCGAAGCUGUUCCAGUGAAAGUCGUGCUCCCUGAUUUGAGGACAACCUCGGAUCCGGAUCAGCGCAAAAGGAAGGGCAGCACUCUUUUGAGGCCUUCUGCGCAUCCGAAGAAAGCGAAAGCUUCUCAGUCUUCGGAGAAGGAAGCGGUUUCGGAAGUCAUGCCUCCUCCCAAAAAUCUCCUUCACUUCAUGCCCUUGCCAGGGCAGAAGUUGAAGAGUGUGGUGGUUGCGGAACCGCCGCCCGUGGACCAACCGUUGGCUGAGGAAGAUACCAUCCCCUCUCCGCUGAAGCCGUCUGCUGCUUUAGGGAUCGAGAUCCAGGAUAUAACCAAGGUGAUGGAGGCAAUUGAAGCCGACCUUGUUCCUGGCUCGGA
This is a long non-coding RNA of Spinacia oleracea (spinach), 817 nucleotides long. RefSeq lists it as uncharacterized. Lineage: Eukaryota; Viridiplantae; Streptophyta; Magnoliopsida; Caryophyllales; Amaranthaceae. The record is from RefSeq and is a predicted model, not a curated record. The transcript is spliced from 3 exons.